UAGGAUAUGGCCAAGCGGUAAGGCAUAGAGCUCUGGACUCUAGAUCAUUGGUUCGAAUCCAAUUAUCCUAACCA
Molecule: transfer RNA, 74 nt
Filed under: Bacilli bacterium
Lineage: Bacteria; Bacillati; Bacillota; Bacilli
Description: tRNA-Gln
Rfam family: tRNA
About the family: Transfer RNA (tRNA) molecules are approximately 80 nucleotides in length. Their secondary structure includes four short double-helical elements and three loops (D, anti-codon, and T loops).
Source: RNAcentral